This is a long non-coding RNA of Argiope bruennichi, 338 nucleotides long. RefSeq lists it as uncharacterized. The transcript has 3 exons. Lineage: Eukaryota; Metazoa; Arthropoda; Arachnida; Araneae; Araneidae. The record is from RefSeq and is a predicted model, not a curated record.
GUUUGCAGUGAUAAGUUCAAUUUUCUUUAUAAAAGCGUAAGGAUUGUUUUUGCAUUCAACUGGGACAAAGGCAUAGGAAAAGAUCUGAAUGUCGCAACCUUGCAAGAUUUUCAUAAGAAACCUUCAACACGGUUCUUGGAAAAAAUCAACAAAAGCUAAAACAUCGCAUUUAAAGAAAUUGAAGUAUACGAUCCAUUACUUCCAAGAAAUGACUUACUGGUUUUACUAGUGGCAAUAUCAAUUAAAGAAAAUCAGUUGAAACAAUCUCUUUUCAAGUAGUGCAACGACAAAUGUCCUGUGAAAGUUGUAUUAAGUAACUGAUUGAGUAUCUUACCGGU